CUUUUCUCUUUAAAUUUUCUUAACUUGGAAACCCAUUGGUUAAUUGGCAGAGGUGCUGUGUAUAGUUAAGUAGUCUGAAAGUUGUAUCCCUAAAUAUUUUACAUUGGACAUCCUAGUUUGAAGGGAACCUUGUUGUAUCUCUGUCUCAUUUACCCAUCUAUAAAAUGAAGAUAACACUAUUGCCUCAUCAGGUAUGAUGGUUCCUGUCUGUUAGUUGUUUGACUGCUAUGGAGGAUUUAAAGAGCUUGUGAAUUAUUUGGUAUUCUGGAAAUGAGUUGAACAGAGUGCAUGAAUACAUGCAGAGAAUUGUUAGUUGUCAUUGGAUCGUUGUCUAGCAUUACAGGAGUGAAAUGAGGGAGGAAGCCUAGAGCAAUCCUGGAAUAUCAGGGAUGCAGGAAAAACAGCCUUUAAUACCAUAUUUGGAGUUCAUUGGCGUAGACAUCCCUGAUCAUUGAACUGCUUCAAUCAGUAAGUUCUUUUCUCUGUGAGGAUGCUGUGAAUAUGAGCAUUUUGUGACAGGAGGUUUGGUUCUG
This 533-nucleotide long non-coding RNA is filed under the name Anser brachyrhynchus (Pink-footed goose). Its description in RNAcentral is "lncRNA (ENSABRG00000011340.1)". The record is from RNAcentral. Lineage: Eukaryota; Metazoa; Chordata; Aves; Anseriformes; Anatidae.